GUGGGGAAUUUUGCGCAAUGGGCGAAAGCCUGACGCAGCAACGCCGCGUGUGUGAUGAAGGUCUUUGGAUUGUAAAGCACUUUCGACCGGGACGAAAACCCGAAGCCCAAUACGCUUCGGCUUGACGGUACCGGGAGAAGAAGCACCGGCUAACUCUGUGCCAGCAGCCGCGGUAAUACAGAGGGUGCAAGCGUUGUUCGGAAUUAUUGGGCGUAAAGCGCGCGUAGGCGGCUUUGCAAGUCGGGUGUGAAAGCCCUCAGCUCAACUGAGGAAGUGCGCCCGAAACUGCAGAGCUUGAGUGCCGGAGAGGGUGGCGGAAUUCCCCAAGUAGAGGUGAAAUUCGUAGAUAUGGGGAGGAACACCGGUGGCGAAGGCGGCCACCUGGACGGUCACUGACGCUGAGGCGCGAAAGCGUGGGUAGCAAACAGGAUUAGAUACCCUGGUAGUCC
RNAcentral lists this ribosomal RNA (449 nucleotides) under uncultured bacterium. RNAcentral describes it as "bacterial SSU rRNA". It matches the Rfam family "Bacterial small subunit ribosomal RNA", at positions 354 to 796 of the family's 1533-position model. The record is from RNAcentral.